RNAcentral lists this ribosomal RNA (440 nucleotides) under uncultured bacterium. Its description in RNAcentral is "bacterial SSU rRNA". It matches the Rfam family "Bacterial small subunit ribosomal RNA", at positions 338 to 793 of the family's 1533-position model. The record is from RNAcentral.
CCUACGGGGGGCAGAAGUGGGGAAUAUUGCACAAUGGAGGAAACUCUGAUGCAGCGACGCCGCGUGAACGAUGAAGGCUUUCGAGUCGUAAAGUUCUGUCCUAGGGGACGAAGGACGUGACGGUACCCGAGGAGGAAGCCCCGGCUAACUACGUGCCAGCAGCCGCGGUAAUACGUAGGGGGCGAGCGUUGUCCGGAAUUAUUGGGCGUAAAGGGUACGUAGGCGGUUUUUUAAGUCUGGUGUGAAAUUGGUGGGCUCAACCCACCCAAGCAUUGGAAACUGGAAAACUUGAGUCAUGGAGAGGAAAGUGGAAUUCCUAGUGUAGCGGUGAAAUGCGUAGAUAUUAGGAGGAAUACCGGUGGCGAAGGCGACUUUCUGGACAUGUACUGACGCUGAGGUACGAAAGCGUGGGGAGCAAACAGGAUUAGAUACCCCUGUAG